AAGUGCAAAUAUUGAAGUGUCUAACUCGUCAUUGGAACAGUUGCAAAUCCGCCUUAGACAACACUUAGAAAGGAAAAAGUACUUGAUGGUCUUGGAUGAUGUGUGGAAUGUAGAUUAUAGAAUUUGGGGUCAAUUGAGAAAAUAUUUGAUGGUUGGUGCAAUAGGAAGUAAGAUUUUAGUAACAACUCGUAACAAGAGAGUUGCUUUAGCUAUGGAUGUAAACUCUCCAUAUGCUUUAGGGGGCCUAACAGAAGAUCAGUCAUGGGAUUUAUUUGAGAAGCUAGUAUUUAGAGAGGGAACAAGUAGAGUGAAUCCAAAUUUAAUAGAAAUAGGGAAAAAAAUUGCAAAGAAGUGCAAAGGAGUUCCACUUGCAAUCAGAGCUUUAGGAGGCAUAAUGCAACUAAAAAGUGGUGAAAGUGAUGAAUGGUCCUCUGUCCUAGAAAAUGAGAUGUGGAAGUCGUUUGAGAGUAAGAAUGAUGUUGGUCCAGUGUUGAAAUUGAGCUAUGAUCACUUACCGAAUCAUUUAAAGCAAUGUUUUGCGUAUUGUGCCAUGUUUCCUAAAGAUUAUGAGUUUGAUAAGGAGAGGUUAAUUCAGUUAUGGAUUGCUCAAGGUUAUAUUCAAUCUUGGAGCACUCAAGGUGGAAAUGAAAGUUUAGAAAAGAUUGGAGAUAGAUACUUCAAUGAAUUAUUAUCUAGGUCAUUUUUUCAGAGGGAUAAGUAUUGUUAUAAAAUGCAUGAUCUCAUCCAUGACCUUGCACAGUCAAUAGCAGGGGAUAGUUGUUUUGUGGUAAAUGAUACUACUAAAGAUAUUCCUGAUAGAGUCCAACAUGUGUAUUUUGAGGGGCUGCCUUCUAAGGAAUGCUUGAGAAAGUUCAAAAACAAGGGGUUGAGGACACUAUUUUUUUCUCGUGAGUUAGAUAUAAAUUUAGAUAGUAUUAUUUCAAAUUGUAGAAGUUUAUGUGUAUUGAGUUUACGUGGGUGGGAUAUCAAUGGAUUGCCAGAUUCAAUUGGAAAGUUGAAGCACUUGAGGUAUCUUGACAUCUCAGGAAAUCAUAUAAUCAAAUCACUUCCAAACUGUAUUUGUAGUUUGUAUAAUUUGCAAACUCUAAUACUAACAAAUUGUUGGAAUCUUAGAGAAUUACCGAGAGACAUAAGAAAAUUGAUUUGUCUUAGAAGUCUCAUGAUUGAUGGAUGUGAUGGUCUUAAAUACAUACCAGUGUGGUUAGGGAAGUUAAAAAGAUUAUCUAGUUUUAUUGUGGGAAGGGAUCAAGGAAGGAGAUGUGCCACGUUUUACUGUUUCUGAUCUAUCAAGUCUGGUGUCUCUACCAAGGGAGCUUCAAUAUGUUACCACCCUGCAGCGUCUCACAAUCUUCGGUUGUUCUAAUUUGACAGCUUUGCCUGACUGGAUGGGCAACCUCACAUCACUUGAAUAUCUAGACAUCGAUAACUGCCGCAAAUUGGAAUCGCUACCAAAAGUAAUGCGUCAAAUCACCACUUUACAACGGUUGAUAAUUGAUGAUUGCCCCCAUUUGUCUGAAAGAUGCGGACACGAUAUGGCUGCAGAUUGGCCCAACAUUUCUCACAUCCCAUAUAUCAUGAUAGAUUGGCAUCAAAUUCAAGGGCGUGGCCGCUAUUUUUUGGAAGAAGAAGGAGACUCCUCUGCUUCCACCGAGGUACAACUAUAGAAGAAUGAUUCUACUUAGCUUUGACUAUCCAUGGGAUGGUAGAACAUAUUGCUAGCUCCAACAACAGAAUUAUAUGUUGCACACAGCAAACCUUUUUCUACUUCAGAAUUUUAGAAAGGGAAUAGAAGCAAAUGAUGUUUGUCCUGCAACAGAUGAUAUUUGGAUUUUGGAAGUUGUAAAUUACUUUAGGAUCUACUCUUCUAAUAGAAUUCAGGAAUGAAGCAAUUUUGAACUUGAAGCUUAUAUUGCACAUAUUUCCUUUUUCCAUGAUUACAAAGGAUCAUCAGCUGCUUCUACAAGGUAUCUCUCUCCAUCUGGGCUGGAAGGAUGUUGAUAACUUGAAUUAACUCUUAGAAUAGACAUUUAGAAUCAAUGUUGCAUUUUCGGAGGCAAUGAGAAUCUGCAUUCUGUCUAAAUUCUGUCAAUUACCACAUCUCUACCCCUUCGAGAAUCGAGAAGCUAGCGACUGCAGGGUGCAUUGGAAUGUAUCAUUGAUGAUGAUGAUGGAUCACAAGUCACAACUCACAACUCACCACGAUGUCAUGUUCGCCGAGCCAUCAUGCUGCAAUCCAGCCACUUUGGAGUUAGGACCAUGGAAUGUAUUGUCACCUCCAACACUUCUGAUGUUGCGUCAUUCAGAUGUUUUCAUUUUCUUAAAGCAGUUAGCUUUGAAUUAUAUUUUAAUCUAUCCUGACUGUUUUUUCUGAAUUUAAUGCAAUAUAUCCAUGUGCUAAUCCUUGCAGGAAUACAACCUGGAGCAAGGUCGGAUAUCAAAGCAACAGAUCCUAAAACGUGGAGAACUUCCUCUGGGAAAAUGAAGCUAAAAUUCUUAGAUUUUUGUAAGAAAUUUAUGUGCUGCUACAAACUAUGGAAAAAAGCGCAUCUAGUAAUCUCUAUUAGCAUCUGCUUUCAUGUAGGCACAGAGCAAGUGUGAGUUUACAUGAAAUGUUAUAAAGGGAGCUUAACAGAGUGCAUCUUGCACAUAUUCAAUCUCUGCAAUCACUCUCCAGUUCCAAAGUUUAUGAGUUGGGAUGGUCUGCCAGCUUUACACUGGUAUAUACAUUCCUGGAUCUAGCUUUACACUGCCAGUUCCAAAGUUGCUUUGCCAUUGGUUGUGUUGCAAAGAAGAAUUCUUAACUGUUUCUACAGGUUGCAUGCGCUUUCACGGCCUACUGGAAAAUCUUUUAGCAAACAGUCUCUAAUUUUAUUAUACCUUGUGCAUCUAAGUGUAGAGCAAAUGUUCUUUCUCUUGGUGCUGCAAUUUGGUGAAACUCCCACAUCUUUGCUCAAAAGAGAAACAGUGAAUUGCAACUCUGAGCCAUUGAACAAGAAAUACAAACAGCUACUAUGAUAGAGGAUUUGUCACUUGUCAAAGUUAGUUCUGGUUAUGCCUUAGUUGUUAAUAGAUAUUGUGAUAUUUUUAAAAUGUAAUUCUAUUUUAUUUUAUUAGGAGUCUGGGACUAAGGGGAAUUUCUAUGUUUAUGUCAAUUUCACCAAUUAAAUACAUGAAAUUGUAGUUUAAAUGUAACAUUUUUUUUUAUUUUACACACUGGGAUUUAUUUAUUUAGUUCUUUUCUAGAUGUUUGUAAUAAUAAAGCUAAGGUAAAAUAGAGAUGAAAAGGAUCAUCAACUACUUUUACAAGAUAUAUUUCUCCCCAUCUGUUAAGAAAAUCAACUGCCUACUUUGUUAUGUCUUCACUUUUUAUCUUUCAAGGGUCAACAAGUUUGUUUCUAUACUAUAUGCAGGGUUGGAAGGAGGUUUAAACAGCUUUUGGAACAGACAUUUGGAAUCAAUUUUUCAUUUUCAGAAGCAAUCAGAAUUUCCAAUAGAAAUCAGGAAACUGAUUGUAUAUAUCAGCAAAAUGGGAAAAUGGAAAGAGAAAACGAGGAAAACGUGUAACUGGGAAAGACAGAGAGCAAGAGGUUGAAAGAGAAACGAGACAGAGAGUGCGUGUCCUCGGUGACAAAACAGGGAGGGCUUGAGAGAGAGAGCCCCGAUAACUCCACUCAUCUGCAGCCAAAUUCCGGACAUCAAUUACCGGGAAAACGAUCCAAAAAUCAGAUUUUGAAGCUUUUUAUUUUUGAGAGAGACGGCGUUGCUCGUCAUUGCCAUCUUCUCUUCCCCUCGUUGGCAUCUUCUCUUUGACACAAAUAAUUGGUGGCGGUAGAAGUGGAUACAACAAAGACAAAUGAAGUAACUAGACUAGAAGAACAAUUAAUCAUCAUUAGAUGGAGUAAUUAGGCACAUUAAUUAGAUGGGAAAAUUAAUAUGAAUUUUGAAUUUUGCUAGAUUUAGUAAUUGAUUACUAUUAACGAACAUUUUCAGAGUGAGUUACAAAACUUUUAUAUGUUCAUUCAAUAUCUUGUAUUUUCUUUUUGUCGAAUUAAUGAGUUAUACAGUUUUC
RNAcentral lists this unclassified non-coding RNA (4090 nucleotides) under Hevea brasiliensis (rubber tree). Lineage: Eukaryota; Viridiplantae; Streptophyta; Magnoliopsida; Malpighiales; Euphorbiaceae. The record is from RNAcentral.